ACUGAAUUUGUGAAUGGUGGAUCUAAAAAAGUAUAGAAAACUUGUGUUAUUUAUAGAUAAAAGUUAGGUUAAAAAAUUGAGUAAGAUUUCUCUAUUAAAGACCGAUGAUGAUGGAACAACUUUUUUAGACUGAAUUUGUGAAUGGUGGAUCUAAAAAAGUAUAGAAAACUUGUGUUAUUUAUAGAUAAAAGUUAGGUUAAAAAAUUGAGUAAGAUUUCUCUAUUUUUGGAAUGAUUUCAUUUGACCUGAUUUUAUCUAUUACUUAAAGGUUAACUCAAUAAAUCUGGAUGGAUUCAUGAUAUUGGUGAAUAAAUGGAAUAAAAAUUGAUUUUAAUAAAUAAAAGUAAUAAUAAAUAAUGUGAUAAAUGUAAUAGUAAAAAGAUUUUGACUUUUUUUUACUUUAUAGUGAGUUUCUUUGAUUUUUAGACUAAAAAUCAUGAAAAAUCAACAAUAUAAUAAUCAUCAAAAAUAAAAUAAUAAAAAAUUUGAAAAAAAAUAAAUAAAAAAUAAAAAGGUGCAAUUUUAAUUAUAAAAUAAAAUAUAAAAGGGAGAAAAAACUCUAAAAGUGGAAAAAACAUAAAAAGAGGGCAAAAAAACUUUAAAAGUGGGGAAAAUAAGAUUCAAACUCAAGACAUCUCUCUCAUAGCUCCUUACACCUACUCUUCUAUCAAUUGU
This 675-nucleotide long non-coding RNA is filed under the name Lathyrus oleraceus (garden pea). RNAcentral describes it as "Pisum sativum (pea) long non-coding RNA (PSAT_LNC028523)". The record is from RNAcentral. Lineage: Eukaryota; Viridiplantae; Streptophyta; Magnoliopsida; Fabales; Fabaceae.